CAGUCGCCGCGGGAAUACGAAGGGUGCAAGCGUUAAUCGGAAUUACUGGGCGUAAAGCGUGCGUAGGUGGUGGUUUAAGUCCGUUGUGAAAGCCCUGGGCUAAACCUGGGAAUUGCAGUGGAUACUGGGUCACUAGAGUGUGGUAGAGGAUAGUGGAAUUUCCGGUGUAGCAGUGAAAUGCGUAGAGAUCGGAAGGAACAUCUGUGGCGAAGGCGACUAUCUGGGCCAACACUGACACUGAGGCACGAAAGCGUGGGGAGCAAACAGGAUUAGAUACCCCUGUAGUCCCUGUCUCUUAUAC
This 301-nucleotide ribosomal RNA is filed under the name uncultured bacterium. Its description in RNAcentral is "partial 16S ribosomal RNA". It matches the Rfam family "Bacterial small subunit ribosomal RNA", at positions 509 to 807 of the family's 1533-position model. The record is from RNAcentral.